Transfer RNA from Felis catus (domestic cat), 73 nucleotides. It matches the Rfam family "tRNA". Rfam says of the family: Transfer RNA (tRNA) molecules are approximately 80 nucleotides in length. NCBI's taxonomy places the organism in Eukaryota, Metazoa, Chordata, Mammalia, Carnivora, Felidae. The record is from Rfam.
GCCUGGCUGGCUCAGUUGGUAGAGUAUGUAACUCUUGAUCUCAAGAUCAUGAGUUCAGGCCCCACGUUGGGCA